This is a ribosomal RNA of Gadus morhua (Atlantic cod), 119 nucleotides long. The record is from Ensembl. Lineage: Eukaryota; Metazoa; Chordata; Actinopteri; Gadiformes; Gadidae.
GCUUACGGCCAUACCACCUUAGGCACGCCCGAUCUCGUCUGAUCUCGGAAGCUAAGCAGGGUCGGGCCUGGUUAGUACUUGGAUGGUUGACCGCCUGGGAAUACCAGGUGCUGUAAGCA